GAAAUGCGAUAAGUAAUGUGAAUUGCAGAAUUCAGUGAAUCAUCGAAUCUUUGAACGCACCUUGCGCUCCUUGGUAUUCCUUGGAGCAUGCCUGUUUGAGUAUCAUGAAAUCUUCAAAGUAAAUCUUUUGUUAACUCAAUUGUUUUCUACUUUGGUAUUGGAGGUCUUUGCAGCUUCACACCUGCUCCUCUUUGUUCAUUAGCUGGAUCUCAGUGUUAUGCUUGGUUCCACUCGGCGUGAUAAGUUAUCUAUCGCUGAGGACACUGUAAAAGGUGGCCAAGGUAAAUGCAGAUGAACCGCUUCUAAUACUCCAUUGACUUGGACAAUACUUUUAUGAUCUGAUCUCAAAUCAGGUAGGACUACCCGCUGAACUUAAGC
This 378-nucleotide unclassified non-coding RNA is filed under the name plant metagenome. RNAcentral's name for it is "partial contains 5.8S ribosomal RNA, internal transcribed spacer 2, and large subunit ribosomal RNA". The stretch from base 1 to 105 matches the Rfam family "5.8S ribosomal RNA", at positions 50 to 154 of the family's 154-position model. The record is from RNAcentral.